UAAUACGUAGGGUGCGAGCGUUAAUCGGAAUUACUGGGCGUAAAGCGUGCGCAGGCGGUUUGCUAAGACAGGUGUGAAAUCCCCGGGCUUAACCUGGGAACUGCGCUUGUGACUGGCAGGCUAGAGUACGGCAGAGGGGGGUGGAAUUCCACGUGUAGCAGUGAAAUGCGUAGAGAUGUGGAGGAACACCGAUGGCGAAGGCAGCCCCCUGGGCCUGUACUGACGCUCAUGCACGAAAGCGUGGGGAGCAAACAGGAUUAGAUACCCUGGUAGUCCACGCCCUAAACGAUGUCAACUAGUCGUUCGGAGCGGUAACGCACUGAGUGACGCAGCUAACGCGUGAA
This 344-nucleotide ribosomal RNA is filed under the name uncultured Thauera sp. RNAcentral describes it as "bacterial SSU rRNA". It matches the Rfam family "Bacterial small subunit ribosomal RNA", at positions 521 to 863 of the family's 1533-position model. The record is from RNAcentral. Lineage: Bacteria; Pseudomonadati; Pseudomonadota; Betaproteobacteria; Rhodocyclales; Zoogloeaceae.